CCUUCUUACGAAGGUAUGCUUAAAGAGGGGCUUGCGCCACAUUAGUUAGUUGGUAGAGUAAAAGCCUACCAAGACGAUGAUGUGUAGCUGGACUGAGAGGUUGAACAGCCACAUUGGGACUGAGACACGGCCCAAACUCCUACGGGAGGCAGCAGUAGGGAAUUUUCGGCAAUGGAGGAAACUCUGACCGAGCAACGCCGCGUGAACGAUGAAGUAUUUCGGUAUGUAAAGUUCUUUUAUUGAAGAAGAAAAAGUAGUGGAAAAACUAUAUUGACGUUAUUCAAUGAAUAAGCCCCGGCUAACUAUGUGCCAGCAGCCGCGGUAAGACAUAGGGGGCGAGCGUUAUCCGGAAUUAUUGGGCGUAAAGGGUGCGUAGGCUGUUAGAUAAGUCUAUAAUUUAAUUUCAGUGCUUAACGCUGUCUUGUUAUAGAAACUGUCUUGACUAGAGUGAGAUAGAGGCAAGCGGAAUUCCAUGUGUAGCGGUAAAAUGUUAUAGAAACUGUCUUGACUAGAGUGAGAUAGAGGCAAGCGGAAUUCCAUGUGUAGCGGUAAAAUGUGUAAAUAUAUGGAGGAACACCAGAAGCGUAGGCGGCUUGCUGGGUCUUUACUGACGCUGAGGCACGAAAGCGUGGGUAGCAAACAGGAUUAGAUACCCUGGUAGUCCACGCCGUAAACGAUGAGUACUAAGUGUCGGGGUAAAACUCGGUACUGAAGUUAACACAUUAAGUACUCCGCCUGAGUAGUACGUACGCAAGUAUGAAACUUAAAGGAAUUGACGGGACUCCGCACAAGCGGUGGAUCAUGUUGUUUAAUUCGAAGAUACACGAAAAAUCUUACCAGGUCUUGACAUACUCUGCAAAGCUAUAGAAAUAUAGUGGAGGUUAUCAGGGAUACAGGUGGUGCAUGGUUGUCGUCAGUUCGUGUCGUGAGAUGUUAGGUUAAGUCCUAAAACGAACGCAACCCUUGUCGUUAAUUGCCAGCACAUAAUGGUGGGGACUUUAACGAGACUGCCAAUUAAACAUUGGAGGAAGGUGAGGAUUACGUCAAAUCAUCAUGCCCCUUAUGAUCUGGGCUACAAACGUGAUACAAUGGCUGUGACAAAGAGUAG
This 1108-nucleotide ribosomal RNA is filed under the name Brinjal little leaf phytoplasma. RNAcentral describes it as "bacterial SSU rRNA". It matches the Rfam family "Bacterial small subunit ribosomal RNA", at positions 193 to 1249 of the family's 1533-position model. The record is from RNAcentral. Lineage: Bacteria; Bacillati; Mycoplasmatota; Mollicutes; Acholeplasmatales; Acholeplasmataceae.